Molecule: non-coding RNA, 28 nt
Filed under: Mus musculus (house mouse)
Lineage: Eukaryota; Metazoa; Chordata; Mammalia; Rodentia; Muridae
Source: RNAcentral
UGUGUUCAAACACAAGUGUCUACAGCGA